This 9758-nucleotide long non-coding RNA is filed under the name Mytilus galloprovincialis (Mediterranean mussel). Lineage: Eukaryota; Metazoa; Mollusca; Bivalvia; Mytilida; Mytilidae. The record is from RNAcentral.
AUGUAGAUGUAGAUGAUGAUGAAGACAAAAUACAGACAGUCAGAGGCCUUUUCAUAGCCAAAGGAGCCUGAAGGAAUACAAAAUACUUCUCCCAGUUGAAAGUGGUAGGUUUAACAACAUGUUUACUUUUUUCUUUAUUACGUGUGGAAUAAAAGUACAUUCAUAAAAUAGGAUAUUUUUAUUUUUUGGAAAGGGGGAGGGGCAAUGACUCAAUUUAGUAUGUACAUGUACAUGUAUGUGACCAAUAGCUUUCAAGCUCUGGUCCCAGUGAAAUGCUAGACAUGUAGUCAUGACAGUUAGCCUGUUUAGUUGAAUUAUUUAUUUUAAUUUUAUUAAUAUUAAAUAAACCUAAAUAUUUGAAAUAUCCAAAUAGGAUGAUUUGAAAUGAUUGCCAUUCGCCCUAGUUUCUGUUCGCCCUAAUACCUGUUCGCCUCGAGUCCGUUCGCCCUGUUUUUAUUUUUUAGUAUAGUGUUGUGUUGUGUGUAUAUAAUUGAAUGCGUUGAAGUCAGUCUUAAAUUUGGCCGAAUAUUUACGAUGUAUCAUGUUGUUUAUAGCUAGCUAGCUGCUACUAGGACUAGGUUAUAAGUUUCUGUACAUUUCAGGACUACAAGAUAUUGUGGCUUCAAGGUAUUGCCUUGAAGACUAAGUUUGUAUCUGUAUGUUAUUACGUUACUAGGAAAUUUAAGUUUCUGUGAAUUUCAGCACUACAUUGUAUUUUUAAAUGUAAAACAACUGAAGACUAAAUUAUUUGUAUGUUAUUGAAUAUGUUGAAGUUUACAUUCACCGAAUAUUUAUUUAUGAUGUAUAUUCUGUGGUACUGCUAUCAUAGAAAAUAAGUUUCUCGGAAUUUCAGCACUACCGUGAUUGUAUUUUAAAAUGUGAAACAACUGAAGACUAAGUUGUUGUCUUGCUGCUACGAGGAUAAGUUUCUGUGUAUUCAAAGACUACAAAGUAUUUGACAUAAAACAACUAAAGACUAAGUCUAUAUUUAACUUUAUUGAUAUAUGUUAACAAUAUAAAAAUAUUCAGUAACAGUUAUAACAAUUAAGAUCAAUUCCGAACUGUACUUCGCACACCUUUAUUUCCUAAACGAAUAUUUAAAAGCACUAAUUUUGAAUUACUAUUAGUGAAACAAAUAUCAAAAAACACAGUCACACUGCUGUACAUUGAUCACUUGUCAUCAGUGUUUUUACCCAUCCAAGCUUACUGUUUAUUUGAGAAAAAUGUUCUUUUCAUUAUUAAUCCAUCAAAGACAAUUCAUAUAACAAUCAGUGAUAUCAAAGAUUUCAAAUGAUACCUUAUCAGCAAUCAAAAUUUUGGCAAAUAUUCUGUAUUGAACUUUUAAUAGAUAUACAUAUGAUAAUUUUCAAUAUAUAUAUAUAUAUAUAUAUAUAUAUAUAUAUCGUUCAUUAAUGUAAUAUAUACAUAUCAUUAAUGAAUAUAGGGCGAACGAACCCAGGGCGAACGGACUAUCAGGGCGAACAAACUCAGUGCGAACGAACCUAGGGCGAACAUGUAAUCAGGGCGAACGAUCCCGAUACCCGUUCACCCUAUAGUCGCUGUCAGCUGAAAUUCGUAGCGGUUAUCGGUAAAAAUAAUCUAAACUAUCAAUCGCGUUCACUCGAGAUAUAGUUUUUCACAUUCCAUUCAUAAAUCGCAAAAAGAAAAAACACUACUGACCUACCUUUUAAGUGAUCACACUGUAAUAAUCCUGACCUUCACAUUUUCCAGAAUAUUUUCCAUUGUAAUUCCGCCAUCUUCAAUUCUAUGAGGAUCAUUUGUUUACAUAUGACAUUUGUCACUGUACGCAGUUUCCUGAAAUGUUCCUUUCAUUGAUGUUAUAAGGUUUCCCGCGCUUUAUGCAAAUUUUAUGAAAUUGAACUCCACGGAAACACUUCCGGUAAAAACAAUGGCUUUUGCCCAGGGUCCAUUCGCCCUGAUUUUUUUUUUCCAAAAUGUUUUCUUGUUUCUUUGUGUAUUAUGUUUAUUAUGACCAUGAUGACUAUUAUGUGAACAGAAUAUGUUGAAAUUUUGUUGAAAAAUUACCGUAAUAUUUGUACAUGUAUAGCCGAAACCAAUUUAUUAUUUUUCCUUUGAUUUGUUAUGUCAUUGAUCUAUAAUUGAUCAAAACAAGCCGUCAGCUUUUAAAUAUUUUUAUGAUACAGUUUUCAUAAAGGACAAUUUAAGGUAUGAUAAGGGCCGUUUCUGGUCCCCCUUUUUUGAGAAUUUUUAAACUUUGAAAUUGAAACCCAUCACGCAUGUGUAAUGAACUGCAGUAUCUGAUCGUCCAUAAAGAACCUUAUUUUUAGAUGUUAUGUACUCAAAUAUGUUCAAACUGAGACCUUGAAAAGCCCUAAACGACGAAAAGUGAAAAAAAUCUACAAUUUCGUCAUGUUCGGAGACAAAAUUUGACAUCAGCGCCAACGUAGACCAUCUUGAAAUUUUCAACCAUCAACUGUACUCUUAUGUAUCUUUCACAUAAUAAAAUAUCAUAGUGGUCUACGUUGGCGCUCAUGUCUAAAAAUUUGAAAAAAUAAUCCGAUUGUUUACAUAUUUUGACAAGUCAUUAUAAAACGUCAAAGUGAACGGCACGGGUACGAAAUUAUUCCGGGAUCCAUAAUUGAUCAGAAUAUUACGUACGGAUUGUUUUAUGUCGUAUCCAGUCAUCGGCAAGACAUGUCACUGUCUUAAAGAAAUAUGUUGUACGUGAAAUUAGACCCAUAAUGAUCAAAAUAGCAACUAAGCAGCCAAAUACAGAGUUGUGUCCCUUGAAAUAUGGUGAAUUAAUUUUUAUUCAUUACAAUUUUCAAAUAUUCAACGAAAUCUUACAAAUAAAUUUUAUAAUAAAUUCUCAUUAUAUUCAAACUCUUUUUGUAGUUCUGAAGAAAAUUAUGUCAUCAAAACGUAUAUAUUUGCUUUUUGAAGUUUUCCAUUUAACUAUCUACAGAAAAAAAGAUUUAUGUAUCAUAUACAUUUCGUGCACAUUUUCCUUACCAUACUGACCGUGCAAGGGCUGUAAAGCCAGUCAAGGUCGUUAAACACUUCCAUUUUAUGUUCGAUACUCGGUUCGUUACCAUAAAUUUUAGGACUUCACACGUGCAUUGGCCAUUGUAUAGUAGUUAUAUAAACAGAGAACUAAGAAUAAUAAAAUCACUUGUUGAUAGACAAAAAUCUGCGCACAGUCCUAAACUAAUACGUUAUACAUGUGCAGUCAGUAUUAAAUCCAAAGUACGGAAUGUAAUUAUACACAUAAUUCCAGGUAAAGAGCAGUUGAUACUGAAAUUAAGUUAACUACACUUAUACUAUACUGUAAAUGUAUUUCCAGCCUAUUCAUAUAUCGGUACACUAAAGAUUUAUCUUAUAUAUGUGUCAGAGCACUCUUUUGACAAGAUCUAAUCAUAAAAUAUAAGUACACAUGUAGCAUUCAAUUGACCCAGAUCCUAAUAUAGAUUAUCAAAUAAAACAUGCUAUAGCGAAAUUACUUUUAACAUAUUUACUUGCAUUAAUACAAAUUGGAUAAGACCCAUGGCAAACAAACUUUAUAUGAAGUAUGCGCAAAAAGAAACAUGUGUAUUUGUUUGAAUGUGUAUUUUGUUUUGUCUAUGUAAGUGACAAAAUUUCAUGCCAAACCUUAGUCCGAUUCCUGGAGCGCACUGGUACUUCUUACCUAGCUGUUUAAUGUACAUGUAAACUGUCCUGUCAAUUCUAUUUCACAUUCCCCCUCUCCUCACGGGACAAAAUGUCGAGCACGUUCGUUAAUUUAUAUCUGUCCGUCUAUCCAUCUGUCCGUCUAUUUCUGUCUGGACAUAUACGUCUAGCUAUCUCCUUCAAUUUUUUACCUAAAAAGCUUUUAAUUUAUAAUAGAGGUGUGUAUGUCUACAGGGUUUUGAUUUUUUUUUUUAAUUUUCUUUAAAUGUCUGGUAUUUUUGGUACAAGCUAUAUAUAUAUAUGUAAAGAGUCGGAUAUCCUCAUACGGUUUUUGAUAUACAGCUUUUAUACCUAAUAGGUUUAUUGUACACAAAAUUGAAGCAUGUAUUGCCAUCGGAUUUUUAUUAUCCUUCAAACAUUCUAAAAAUGUCAGAUUUUUGGACUUAGUCAAUAUUUCUUGCUACUUAAAAAACAAUUAGGGUAGUUGUUGAAUAUUCACCAAAAACGGUAGUUGAACUUGUUUUCCCUCUAACUUGCUAUUGAAGGCAGAACUUGCACUACUAGUACUACAGUUUAAUGUCCCAAAUGCAAUAAAUAAGAUUUUUUUAGUAACUUCAAAUAAUUAUUCAAUACCGGAAAGGUUGAAUUUGGUGAAUACUACAGCCGAUUCCAUUGAGUGUGAAGUCAAAGGUAAUAUUCUUAGUUUGCUUGCUUGUUAGAUGAACCAUAAAGUCAUUGUUAGGUCAGGUUAACUAUCCUCCUUUAAGAAUAUACUUGUUCAGCAGAUUACCAAUCUAUCUGUCGGAUGGACUAUGCUUCUUCGAAAAGGAGGUAGUAAGCCUGACAUAAUAAUGACUUCACGGUUCAGCUAACAAGCAAGCUUACCAAAGAUUUUACCUUUUGGCUUCACACUAAAUAAAAUCGGCUGUAAAUCUUGAAAGUUAAAAUCUUUUGUCUGGACAUUCAGUCCUGCAAGUGAAGACAUUCAGAAUAAAAAUAAUAAAUAGAUCAACAUUGAAAGGAGAAAUUAAGGUUGAAAACGAGUGCACCUGCACGAGCGGGGGAUCAAAAACUCACAGCCUCAGUGUUGACUGGCUAGUGAUCACAGAGGAAGUAUCUUCUUAGACCACUCGGCCACCGAGACCCUUUAAUAAAGUAUGUCUAGUUUUCUAAUCAAAUUCGAAUGUUUGGGGUUUUCAUGAAACUACUACUUACCAACAACUGUUUCAUUAAAAAAGCAUAACAUUUUGGAUAAGAUAAGGAGAUGUGGGAUGAUUGCACAUGAUACUAUACACCGGCGAUCAAUGUGCUAAUAUCAGGAUAUAUAUCGUAGAAAUAAUGAAUUUUUAGAGAAGCUGGAAGAUUUUCAUGCCUCUUUCGUCUACAUAUCUUAAUGAAUUUUUAACGUCUUAAACUCGACCUCAUCGAAAACUUUAAACUUUGUUUUCAGCAUUUCAGUCUUUAAAAUAUUCUGUUAAGUGUUAGAAAGUUCACAGUGUACGAUUCUUUAAAUAGACAAACAAUGACAUUGUACAGGCUAUGCAUAUUUGCUAUACAUACUGUAUAAAUCUGAUACUGAAUCUUCAAUAGUAGUUAUAAUCAAUUUGCGUUUUUUAAUUUACCGGUAAUCAUCAUGUAAAUGUGAAAUGCUAUAUUCAAAACUUCAACUAUUAUUUAUGAAUUAUCAGUGUUAUACUUCUUAUAUAACUUAAAGUUUUUUUUGGCCCCAGUUAUGGGCAUUCUGUUUUCUGGUCUGUGCGUUCGUCUGUUCGUUCGUCCGUUUAUCCGUCCGUCCGUCCAUUUGUCCGGCUAAAUGUUAAAGUUUUUGGUCGAGGUAGUUUUUGAUGAAGUUGAAGACCAAUCAACUUGAAAUUUAGUACACAUGUUCCCUAUGAUAUGAUAUUUCUAAUUUUAAUGCCAGAUUGGAGAUGUUGCUCCGUUUUAACGUUAAACUAUACUGGGGAUACAUUCUUGUUUAUUUUACCUACUAACUUGUUAAUGUUUAUACUUACUAAUUAUCAUGGGACAAUAUGAUUUGUAUUUAUCCUUUUUUUUAAUAAACCGACCAUUUCCUUGAUAGCUAUCUUUUAUUUGAUAGUAAAAUUGAGAAUGAAAUAGGGAAUGUGUCAAAGAGACAACUACCCGACCAUAGAGCAGACAACAACCGAUGGGUCUUCAAUGCUGCGAGAAACUUCCGCACCCUGAUGCAUCUUUCAGAUGCAUCUUUCAGCUGGCCCCAAACAAAUAUGUAUACUAGUUCAGUAAUAGUUGACGUCAUACUAAACUCCGUAUUAUACACAAGAAACUAAAAUUAAAAUCAUACAACACUAACAAAGGUCAGAGACUCCUGACUUGGGACAUGCGCAAAAAUGCGGCGGGGUUAAACAUUUUUUUUGAGGGAUCUCAACCCUGCUUUUGGUAACAGCAUAUGAUUUAAUAUUUACAUCACCAAGAUAUAAUAAUGAUGCCAAAAACCUACAUGUACUUCGGUUUACAAAGAAAACCAAACAUUAUUUAACCGUUUCUAAGCACUAUUUUGGUUGCUAAUCUUUGUAUAAGCAUGGUAUACAAUUGACUUGCUUUCAUUUCUUACUGCUAGUUAUUGUUGCAUGUAUUAACCAAUCUAACCUGAUUUUAAUCUAAUUUGUACAAUUAAAAAUCAAAAGAUUUUUUUUGUAGUUCAAUUCAAUUUCUAUCUUUUUCGGCUGUUGCUAAGCAACUUUUAGGUUGCUAUGGUCAAUUUCAUUUGUUUUAAAAAAAUAAUGAUGACUGACACAUCAUAUAUAUGAAAGAAAAAUCAUUUACAGUAGCUAAUUCUUUGAAUAUUGCUAUAGUUAUACCUCAUAUGGCCGAAAUUACAAAUUUUUGAACCGUUGCUAGGCAAAAUUUUUGUUGCUAGGUUGUUGCUAAGCAUUUGUUUAAACUGAAAUUGAAGUGACUUUUCAUUUGUAAACUUCAGUUAGUGUUAAACAAACAAUAUUAUUUUGAAUUAUGCAAAUGUGUAAUGAGAAAGCAAUGCAUAUGUGAUAAUUUGGCUAUUUAUUUAAACCGUUGCUAGGCAACCUUCCUUUCACCGGAACAUGAAAAAAUCAUAGUUUUGAAAUGUUUCUAUACUAAGGCUAUCAAUGAUGUAUAUAUAAACUUAUUUGUGAAGGGGGCCAAAAACGCCUCUUAUCAUACCUUGUCCUUUAAAGAAUAAAAAUAUCUUUAUUCAACUUCAAUGCUCUCAAUAUUAUUUUUAUUAGGGCGAACAGACUCUGCAUGUAUGGGCGACUGAACCCAGGGUGAACAUUUUAUUAGGGCGAACGGAACCGAUAGCAAUGAAAGCAUUCUUUAUUACCAUGCUACAUGUACAUGAUGUAACAGGUAGACAUGCUAGAGAUCAAUUGAUAGUCACAUACUUUCUAUGAUACUGUCAUUACCACUAUACAUCCGUCAACCAUGAGUUAAUCCAUACUGUAUAGUAAGAUCUAAAUAACCCAGAAAUAACAAAUGUAAAGCAUUCCAAACAGAAAACUAUUAAUCGGUCUGAUUAAUAUCCAUUUUUUUUUUAUAUAAAAAACAAAUGCUGUAAUGAUACAUGUACAUGUAUAUCAUGUAUAUACAUAUACAACAUUUAGUUAGUACAUGUACAUAUGUAAAUAAACAACAUGAACAAAGGACAACCACAUCCACUGAAUUAUAUGUAUUACAGACUUUUAACAUGUUUUAAGGAUUUAUAUGUCAAUUUAAGUGUGUAAUUUGUGUGCUUUCUUGUUUUCGUUUAUGUUGUAUUUUUGUUUGCCAUUUACAUGUAGUUGUAUAUUGGGAAUUUAUGGAUGCCACUCCACAAAGACAAUGAAAGACCAGGACUUGGAUUAAUGUAGCAUGAAACUUUCAGAAAUCUUAAAUAUCUUGAUUACUAUGUCAUGAUGCCUUUGCAUUGUGAAACUAUUUUUCUUAAUAUGUCAGAGUGAGCAACUGAAAUUAUACAUACAUUGUUUUUACUGUAUUUUUGUUUGUAAUAUAUCACAGUGGACAUCACUGACUCUAUAUUACUCUUUAUAAUUACUGUUGCCAGACUCACUUUUAGGAAUCUUGGAAUAACAUUUGUAUUUCACUUUUUUUCUAUUCCUAAUAUAAAAAAGAAGAUGUGGUAUGAUUGCCAAUGAGACAACUGUCCACAAGAGACCAAAAUGACACAGACAUUAACAAAUAUAGGUCACCGUAUGGCCUUCAACAUUGAGCAAAGCCCAUACCGCAUAGUCUGCUAUAAAAGGCCCCGAUAAGACAAUGUAAAACAAUUCAAACGAGAAAACUAACGGCCUUAUUUAUAUAAAAAAAUUAACCAAAAACAAAUAUGUAACACAUAAACAAAUGACAACCACUGAAUUACAGGCUCCUGACUUGGGACAGGCACAUCCAUAAAUAAUGUGGCGAGGUUAAACAUGUUAGUGGGAUCCCAACCCUCCCCUAACCUGGGACAGUGGCCAUGUAUAACAGUACAACAUAAGAACAUAAGCCAAUAUAUAUACAGAAAUAUGUCUUGAGAAAAGGUAUGAAGGUUAAAAUUGAGAAUGGAAAUGGGGAAUGUGUUGACCAUAGACACAUAAUUGAACAGACAGAAGGUCACCAGUAGGUCUUCAAUGCAGUGAGAAAUUCCCGCAUCAAGAGAUGUCCUUCAACUGGCCCCUAAACAAAUAUAUAUACUAGUUCAGUGAUAAUGAAAGCCAUACUGAACUCCAUAUUCUAUAUUAAUUUUUUUUUGUUUAGCUUAAUUUAAAAAUCAUAUGAAUAUUUAUUAUUAAUCUGCUUUUAAGGUACCUUCUACCAGUCAUCCAGUGUCAUUUAAAGUUACUAGAGCAGAAAUUUAAACCAUGAAGAAAGUGAUACAUUGUAUACAUGGUAAUUAACCAAUAGAAUUUUUUUUUUAAAGAUAUUCUUAUAUAAGACAAAUUAGUUGUUAAAACAAACAUACACAUAGAGAACUGUUAGUAGAUUGUGCCACUUUUGUUCUCUUGUUCUUAUCUUUAAAGCCUUUUUUUCAAAUGAACUAGUACAGAUUCUUUUGAUUUCUAUACGCCUGAGGUUUGUCAAUAAAUGAAAACUAAAGAAAUUAGCAGAACUUAAAAUACUUUAUUAAUCCAAUUAUGGACCCUUGCCGGUUUUAAAUGUCAUAGAUUUGUGUUAUAACAAUGAAAAACAUCACAAUAGGUAAUACAUAUAUUAUUAUUACAACAACACUUUAAAGAGUCAAUUUUUUUUUUGAAAACUUGGAUCAGAUAAAUAUAGAUUUUUUUUUUUACUAUUUAUCAAAUCUAUUCAUAACUGCUGACUGUCUACUUUCCCUUUUUCCUCUCCCAAAGCAAUUAAACUAAAUUUAACGGUUUUCAAGUUUUGAUGUCACAUGUUUGUUGAGUAAACAGGCAUUUAUACAAUGUAAGUACGAAAUUUUAUUUCUAUGAUUUUUAUUCUUACAAUUAUUUUAAACAUGAUCAUACAUGUACCAUUAUUAAUUUGCAUGUAUUAUAAUAUAUUCAUUUCUGUUUUGUAGAUUUUCUAGAGGAACUACAUAUUGAGUUACAUAACAGACAGAGAGCUAUCACAGUCACAUAUAAUAUGUUGGAAGCAGCAUUUUAUAAGAUAUCAAUACGACAGUGGACAUACUACCCUUUUGGAUGAAUUAUAGCCUGAAGAAGUUUUGAUCUGACAUUAAGGACUGGGCCAUACAAUUUUUGCCCUAAUGCUCCAAGUGGUUUGUUUAGAAGGGACUGAGUUAACUUGUGUGUGUCUUCAUCUUUAAAGUAAAGGACUUGAUUGACUAUUUGUAAAAACAAAAAUUUUAUAGAAUAAUAAAAAAAAUAAUGCUAACUGAUUUUUGUAUUGUCUGUGAAAAUAGAGCUCUAUGUAUGGGAGACUUGAAGAUUUACUGAUUACUAUCUGGCUGCAGCCGUGUAAACUAUUUGUACAAAGCUUUAUAUUUUAGAGGGGAGAAGACAUGGAUGCUUCAAACCUUUUAUGCAGAUACCUUAUGCUAAGAAGUUUCCUUCUGUCAGGUGUCCCUUUUCCUUGACAACAUUUUAAUGUUUAAACAAAACCAUAAAAAAUAUACCUACCAGGUAGUUUUAUCU